UACGGAGGGUGCAAGCGUUAUCCGGAUUCACUGGGUUUAAAGGGUGCGUAGGUGGUUUGUUAAGUCAGGGGUGAAAUCCCGCGGCCCAACCGUGGAACUGCCUUUGAUACUGGCGAACUUGAGUGCGUGAGGGGUAGGGGGAACGAGCAGUGUAGCGGUGAAAUGCGUAGAUAUUGCUCGGAAGGCCAGAGCCGAAGGGGCCCUACUGGUGCGCAACUGACACUGAGGCACGAAAGCGUGGGGAGCAAACAGG
Molecule: ribosomal RNA, 253 nt
Filed under: uncultured bacterium
Lineage: Bacteria
Description: partial 16S ribosomal RNA
Rfam family: Bacterial small subunit ribosomal RNA
Source: RNAcentral